Molecule: ribosomal RNA, 253 nt
Filed under: uncultured bacterium
Lineage: Bacteria
Description: partial 16S ribosomal RNA
Rfam family: Bacterial small subunit ribosomal RNA
Source: RNAcentral
GACGGGGGAUGCAAGUGUUAUCCGGAAUCACUGGGCGUAAAGCGUCUGCAGGUGGUUUCCUAAGUCCACUGUUAAACCUUGAGGCUCAACCUCAAAUCUGCAUUGGAAACUAGGAGACUUGAGUAUAGUAGGGGUAGAGGGAAUUUCCAGUGGAGCGGUGAAAUGCGUAGAUAUUGGAAAGAACACCGAUGGCGAAGGCGGUUCUCUGGGCCUUACCUGACGCUGAGGAGCGAAAGCGUGGGGAGCGAACAGG